This is a small nucleolar RNA of Gymnodraco acuticeps, 100 nucleotides long. The record is from RefSeq and is a predicted model, not a curated record. NCBI's taxonomy places the organism in Eukaryota, Metazoa, Chordata, Actinopteri, Perciformes, Bathydraconidae.
CUCCGAUGAUGAUCUAGCCAUGCUAAUACUGAUGCACCCUGGGUGUAACUGAGUGCUACUCUGCUUCUCACGCUGAUGGUAUCAGUGUGUGCUGAGGAGA